This 497-nucleotide ribosomal RNA is filed under the name uncultured bacterium. RNAcentral's name for it is "partial 16S ribosomal RNA". It matches the Rfam family "Bacterial small subunit ribosomal RNA", at positions 28 to 507 of the family's 1533-position model. The record is from RNAcentral.
GAUGAACGCUGGCGGCGUGCCUAAUACAUGCAAGUCGAGCGAACAGACGAGGAGCUUGCUCCGCUGACGUUAGCGGAGGACGGGUGAGUAACACGUGGAUAACCUACCUAUAAUACUGGUAUAACUUCGGGAAACGGGAGCUAAUACCGGAUAAGAUAUUGAACCGCAUGGUUCGAUAGUGAAAGACGGCUUUUCUGGCACUUAUCGAUGGAUCCGCGCCGCAUUAGCUAGUUGGUAGGGUAACGGCUUACCAAGGCGACGAUGCGUAUCCGACGUGAGUGGGUGAUCGGCCACCCGGGAGGGGGAACACCGUCAAGGGUACUACGGGAGGGAGCAGAAGGGUAUCGUCCGCAGUGGGGGAAAACAUGACGGAGUAAGGCCGCGCGAGAGAUGACGGUGCUGGGAGCGGAAAACUGUCCUACUAGUGGAGAACCAAUGUGUAAGUAACUAUGGCCGGAUUGACGGUACUUAGUCAGAAAGCACCGGCUAACUACGUG